ACGAGCGCCGGGGUCCCAGGACUUUUAACCUCUGCUGGCUACCUGGCCGUGGCCUCCGACGCAGGCGACCCACCUUCCAGGCGAGGAGCGCAGGUCAGGGAACUCCGGGCUGGGGUGCGGGCUUGAGAAAUCAGGGAAACGAUUUGAGGGAAAAACUUUAUUGUUUCUAGAAGAGCCUCGAAGCAAUCACCGGAUGGGAAACCAGCUGGACGUCGUACUUACUUUCCGGUGAAUUGUCUGGUUGCUCAUCAAAAAUCAAUUGACUACAGAUGCGAAGGAGUCUGCAUGCUGACCGUGUUGUUGGCCAGCCUCAUGAGUGUAAGCUCUCUGACCACGUUCUGGAUUGUUACAGGAAACCUCGGUUUUUUGAAGGCUUGUAAGGCCUUCACGUGAUGAGACCCACCCUUUGAGUGAUCUUUACUUAAAGGCAAGUCAGCCACACCUAUAAGUAGCUUCACAACAUGUGUGGACUAAAUCAUCAGUUUGAUCGGAUGACUGCACACUAUGGCCUGGGCAGGUUGACACGUGAGACCAACCGUCACGGCCCACCUUCUUUUGACUCGGUACCCACAGCUCUGCUGUAGCCACGUUGAGUCUCUAAGUGAAGACAGUAAGAGAGUCGUUCUCCCUCCUGAUGAGACACGCGGGCACUGUCCCCAGGGCAUGCAGAGUGCUGGGGUGAUGCUUACUUUUCUCCUUGACGACCUGUAACUUAAACCCUGUGAUGUGAGGGUAACAGUUAUUUGUGUAUCUUAUGGUCUAUGUUAUGCUAUACGGUAAGAAGAUAAAGGAAGGGAAGAAAAGAAAUGUAUUUGAUGCGUGCACAAGUGUGUGCACGCAGUCUACAGUCACGAGGUUGGUGAACUUUUUGUCCUCUUGCAGCACCAGUGCCAACUCGACUGCCAACUCGCAAGCUGGCACCACGGUCAGUGCCAGCUCUUGUACCAGUGCUAGUGCCAGAUCUGGUGUUAAAGGCGUUUCUGGUACCAGCCUGACAGCUAGAGGUAGCACCGGCUCCAGAGCCAGAGCCAGCUCCAAUCACCAGCUCCUGCAGCGUCCCAGAGCUGGAGCUGGCUCCAGGGCCACCUUCAGAUUUAGAGCCAGUGCCAGGUGCAGAAUGAGAGCCGGCUCUAUCACUAGAUCUAGAGUCAAGUCCAGUGAGAGAACUAGUUCCAUCAUUGGCUCAUGGAAAAGCCCUCAAACUCCAGUGAGCUCCGCAACUGGCUCCAGCACCAGCUCCAGGGCUGGAACCAGCUUUGGCACCAGCUGUCUCACCAGCUGCAGGGAUGGAAGCAGCUCUGUCAUCAACCAAUUUGCCAGCUCCAGCAGCAGCUCUAGAGUUUGGAUCCGACCCAACACAAAGCCCAGAGUGACAGAUAACAACAGGAAGUGAACUCGAGUCUACCCCAGCACCACCUCUGGCAGCACAGCUAGAGCUACAGGCAGCUCUAGAGGUAGAGCUCUCUCUAGAGCUAAUGUCAGCACCAGAGCUAGCUCGAGCAUUAGCUCCCGAGCUAGAGAGAGCUCCACUGCCCGUUCCAGGGCGAGAGCCAGCUCCAAGCACCAGCUCAAGAGCGCGAGUGAUAUCUGGAGCCAGCUCCAGCCAAAGCUCCAGGCUCGGUGUCAGUUCCAGCACCCGCUUCAGCACUGAUCCAUUGCCGGAGCCAGUUCUAUUACCACUAAUAGUUCUGGCUCUCCAGAACUAGAGCCAGAGCUGGCUGCAGAGCCAGAGUCAGCUCCAGCACCAGAGCUCGAGCCAGCGCCAUGGCGACAGUCAACUCAGGCUCCAACACUGGCAUCAACUCCUGAGAUAGAGGCAGCUCCAGCCUCAGCUCCAUUGCUGCUCCUGGGCGGGGCUGCUGUUAUCCCACGAGCUGGAGCUGGCUUGAACACCAGCCGUCAUGUCAGCUCUACCUCUGGAAGAUGGAGACAGCUCUAUCACUGACUCCCGUGCCAGCCCCAGUGAUAGAGUGAGAACCAGCUCAAAGCCAGUUUAGAGCCAGUGCUAGGUGCCAAGGAAGAGGUCGCUCCAGCGCCAGCUCUAGCAUCAGCCCCAGAGUUACAGCCAUUCCUGGCACCAGCUCCAGAGAGAGAGUCAGCACCAAGUUCAGACCUAGAGCCUGCUCCAGCCACAGUUCUAGGACCAACUCCAGAGCCAGAGCCCCCAUGAGAGUCAGCUCCUGCAGCAGCUCCAGAGCAAGAGCUGGCUUGGGCGCCCGUAGCAGACUUAGAGCCAGUGCCAGCUCAGGAGAAAGAGCCACAGCCCCAGCACCAACUUCAGAGCUAGAUCGUGCUCUGGCACCAGCACGAUGCCACGUCAGAGGUAGAGGCAGCUCUGUCAGCAGCUCCUAGGCCAGACUCUGUGCCUGCUCUGGCGCCAGAAUCUGCCCUGACACCAGUUCCAGAGGUGGAACCAGUCCAGAGCCACAGCCAGCUCCACCGCCAGUUUUAGCGCCAGCCACAGAGCUAGAGCCGGGACCGGCUGUACAGCUAGAGGCACCAGAAGCAGAGCCAGCACCAGACCGGAGCUGGAGUCAGCCGCAAAGUCAGCGAGAGCUCCAGCACCAGGGACAGCUCCCGCGUCCUCUCUACAGCAAAAUCCACGGCUGCUUCCGGCACGGGCUGUAACCUUAGCUCCGGAGGUACCUGAUCCACAGCUCAAGCCAAACCAGUACCCACCCAGGAGUCAGCUUCAGUGGCCGCUGCAGAGCCAGAGCCAGAGCCAGCGACCGCAAUAGCUGCAGCACCGGCUCCAGCCAGUGUGAGAGACAGCUCGAGAGCGCUGUCCAACUGCAGAACCAGGUCUAGACCGUCUCUGGAGGUAGAUCCGCCUCCAGCGCCUUCCCCAGAGCUAGAGCCAAGUCCAGCAUCAGCUCUUGCAUAAGCUCCAGUGCCAGUCCUAGGAGCAGAGCCACCUUUGAACUAGAGCCAGCUCUGUACCCGCUCUAGGACUGGGCGGGGCUGGGGGCGGGGCUGAGGGCGGGACAGUCCCUUCUGGGCAGGUCACUCCCAGGGCCUCCUCCUCCUCCCUCCCUGAGGUCCCGGCCCUCGGGUCCUCUGAGGCCCCGCUUUCCCAAGCGAGGCUCAAAGUGGGCAGAGACCGCUCUGUUGGAAACUGGCCAAUACCUUAAAAACUGUAUAUGUUUUGACCCAGAAAAUCCACCUCAUGGAUUCUGCCCUGAAUAGAGAUUUAUGGACACAGAUGUUCCCUUCAGCAUGAUUCUGAGAGUGAAAAAUGGCAAAUGGCCCAUGUCCCAUAGCAGGGGCUUUUCAGAAAUUCUGAUUCGGGGCCCCAGAAAAUGCGGAGGAGGAAGACGAUGGACUGAUCAGCACCCGCCCGGGGGAACCAGGUUCCAGAAGGGCACACGUGCCCAGAGUCCUCCCCACCUGACACCCACAACUGCACACGCACACACGUGCACAUGGGCACACACACCACGCGAGAAUUCCUGCGGGUAAACUCCUGGGAUUAGCUCUGCAGGUAAAGGGUCGCACCCGUGGAGCUCUGGGGUCCUGCGCACUGUUCUCCCAGACAGGAGUGUCCUUCCACGCUUCCCUCUAGGGGACCUGCUGGGCCUCUGCUUCCUCACACUGUCCCCAGGGCUGGUCGCCGCCAGACUAGAAACCUGUCGGUGUGGUGUUGACAGCGCCGUCUCCACGGCGUCUACAUCUGCGUGUCAUCGGGAGGUCAAGCGUCUCUGACCUGUACCGACCACGUGUGCGGCCUCUUGUUGGAGCUGCACAUGUGUGUUCUCUGUCCCUUUUUAAAACAUUGACUUUCAAGAUCUGGGGGACCACAGGGGUGUCAAACCUCUCUCUGGCCCUGGGGUGUGAGGAGGGCUGCUCCAGUUUGCGGUUUGUCUUCCCAGCUUUCUACAUGUUUCUUGUUUCUGUUUGG
This is a long non-coding RNA of Aethalodelphis obliquidens (Pacific white-sided dolphin), 3898 nucleotides long. RefSeq lists it as uncharacterized. The transcript has 4 exons. The record is from RefSeq and is a predicted model, not a curated record. NCBI's taxonomy places the organism in Eukaryota, Metazoa, Chordata, Mammalia, Artiodactyla, Delphinidae.